Molecule: ribosomal RNA, 460 nt
Filed under: uncultured bacterium
Lineage: Bacteria
Description: partial 16S ribosomal RNA
Rfam family: Bacterial small subunit ribosomal RNA
Source: RNAcentral
CCUACGGGAGGCAGCAGUGAGGAAUCUUGGUCAAUGGGCGCGCGCCUGAACCAGCCACGUAGCGUGAAGGAUGACUGACCUACGGGUUGUAAACUUCUUUUAUAAAGGAAUAAAGUGAGGCACGUAUGCCUUUUUGUAUGUACUUUAUUAAUAAGGACUGUCUAACUACGUGCCAGCAGCCACGGUAAUACGGAGGAUCCGAGCGUUCUUCGUAUUUAUUGGUUUUAAAGGGAGCGUAGAUGGGUUGUUAAGUCAGUUGUGAAAGUUUGCGGAUCAACCGGAAAAUUGCAAUUGAUACUGGCAGUCUUGAGUACAGUUGAGGUAGGCGGAAUUCGUGGUGUAGCGGUGAAAUGCUUAGAUAUCACGAAGAACUCCGAUUGCGAAGGCAGCUUACUAAACUGCCACUGACAUUGAUGCUCGAAAGUGUGGGUAUCAAACAGGAUUAGAUACCCUUGUAGUC